Molecule: ribosomal RNA, 468 nt
Filed under: uncultured bacterium
Lineage: Bacteria
Description: partial 16S ribosomal RNA
Rfam family: Bacterial small subunit ribosomal RNA
Source: RNAcentral
GACGAACGCUGGCGGCGUGCUUAACACAUGCAAGUCGAACGGAAAGGCCCUGCUUUUGUGGGGUGCUCGAGUGGCGAACGGGUGAGUAACACGUGAGUAACCUGCCCUUGACUUUGGGAUAACUUCAGGAAACUGGGGCUAAUACCGGAUAGUAGCUCCUGCUGCAUGGUGGGGGUUGGAAAGUUUCGGCGGUUGGGGAUGGACUCGCGGCUUAUCAGCUUGUUGGUGGGGUAGUGGCUUACCAAGGCUUUGACGGGUAGCCGGCCUGAGAGGGUGACCGGCCACAUUGGGACUGAGCUACGGGCCAGACUCCUACGGGAGGCAGCAGUGGGGAAUAUUGCACAAUGGGCGGAAGCGUGAUGCAGCAACGCCGCGUGCGGGAUGACGGCCUUCGGGUUGUAAACCGCUUUCGCCUGUGACGAAGCGUGAGUGACGGUAAUGGGUAAAGAAGCACCGGCUAACUACGUG